GACGAACGCUGGCGGCGUGCCUAAUACAUGCAAGUCGAACGCACAGUUUAUACCGUAGCUUGCUACACCAUAGACUGUGAGUUGCGAACGGGUGAGUAACGCGUAGGUAACCUGCCUGGUAGCGGGGGAUAACUAUUGGAAACGAUAGCUAAUACCGCAUAAUAUUAAUUAUUGCAUGAUAAUUAAUUGAAAGGUGCAAUUGCACCACUACCAGAUGGACCUGCGUUGUAUUAGCUAGUAGGUGAGGUAACGGCUCACCUAGGCGACGAUACAUAGCCGACCUGAGAGGGUGAUCGGCCGCACUGGGACUGAGACACGGCCCAGACUCCUACGGGAGGCAGCAGUAGGGAAUCUUCGGCAAUGGACGAAAGUCUGACCGAGGAACGCCGCGUGAGUGAAGAAGGGUGUCGGAUCGUAAAGCUCUGUUGUAAGAGAAGAACGGGUGUGAGAGUGGAAAGUUCACACUGUGACGGUAUCUUACCAGAAAGGGACGGCUAACUACGUG
Molecule: ribosomal RNA, 505 nt
Filed under: uncultured bacterium
Lineage: Bacteria
Description: partial 16S ribosomal RNA
Rfam family: Bacterial small subunit ribosomal RNA
Source: RNAcentral